RNAcentral lists this microRNA precursor (105 nucleotides) under Marmota monax (woodchuck). The record is from RNAcentral. Lineage: Eukaryota; Metazoa; Chordata; Mammalia; Rodentia; Sciuridae.
AGUGGGAUAGCUGGGUCAAAUGGUAGUUCCAUUCCAAGUUUUCUGGGGAAUGGAACCAUACUGCUUUCCAUAGUGGUUGUACCAAUUUGCAGUCCCACCAGCAAU